GAUCCUGGCUCAGAUUGAACGCUGGCGGCAGGCUUAACACAUGCAAGUCGAACGGUAACAGGGAUUAGCUUGCUAAUUUGCUGACGAGUGGCGGACGGGUGAGUAAUGCUUGGGAAUCUGGCUUAUGGAGGGGGAUAACUACGGGAAACUGUAGCUAAUACCGCGUAAUAUCGGAAGAUUAAAGGGUGGGACUUCGGUCCGACCCUCGCCACUAAGAAUAGAGCCCAACGUAGGGAGUUAGGUUAAGGUUGGUUUAGGGUUAAAGGGUAACGUG
RNAcentral lists this ribosomal RNA (274 nucleotides) under uncultured bacterium. RNAcentral's name for it is "partial 16S ribosomal RNA". It matches the Rfam family "Bacterial small subunit ribosomal RNA", at positions 15 to 290 of the family's 1533-position model. The record is from RNAcentral.